This is a non-coding RNA of Sus scrofa (pig), 13485 nucleotides long. NCBI's taxonomy places the organism in Eukaryota, Metazoa, Chordata, Mammalia, Artiodactyla, Suidae. The record is from RefSeq and is a predicted model, not a curated record.
ACUAAAAAUAACUGAUUUAAAGUCUUUGUCCUGUAAAUCUAAUGUUUGUGGUUCCUCAAAUUGAUUUGAUCACUGUUCUUGCUAUGUAAGGGCCACAACACUUGAUUCUUUGUAAUUUUUUGAGGCAGAUAAUUUUUUGUCAAAUUUUGGAUAUUUUGAGUCUUAUAUUGUGUCUCCGAUAAAUCAUUUUCCCUCCUCAGCAUAGUUUGUUGUUGCUGAUUACUGUAUUUGUUGUUUACUUGUUUGUUUAAUGAAUCCUCUGAAUUAAUAUUACUAAGUGUGUAUUCUUUCUCAAAUUGUGGUUACCAAAGUCCCUAUUCUGUUAGCUUAUCCAUUGAUUGAACUGAGUCUUCCUCAAAUGCUUUAAGCCAAAAAAAAUCUCCCAGUUCUGUAUGAGGGUUGAAGAGAGGUUCUGUAUGUAUUAGAGCUCAUCUUUAAAAUCUGGACAAGAGUUUAUAACUCUACCUUGGUCUUCCCUUUCUGCUUGUGCAGAGUCUCAAGGUCAGCCGGUUGUGAGAAUGUGAGAAUUUAAAGGCUUUUAGGUCUUUCCUAAGUAUGUGCAUGAUCCUGAGCACGUGUAUGUCCUUCUAGUUUCCAAGGAAUACGUCAAAGCUUUUCAGAACCCUUACUCCCCAAAAUAUCCCAUUCUCUAGUCUUUCCAUCCAAACUUCCUGACUAGUUUAUUAUCUGUCUCAACAAUUAACCAUUGCCACAGAAACAGUGACUAAAACAUGUUCUUCUAAGCAUUUUGAACAGAUGUCCCUAGAUAGGGACAUUUAACAAAAGGUGAGUUUCAGUUCAGUGAAAUAAAGACAAGCCUUUUCAGUGGGUUUUCUAGGAAAUCACCAGACGUAUCAACUAAGGACAGUUGUGAAUGAGUUUCAUUCUUCUCUUUCAUGCCCCAGUUCUGGGAAUAUGGAAUGUUAUCCUCAAGGCUACCACUGAACUGAGAAGCAGAGCAUGGAUCUAGGGGAAACUGUUCUUCAGUUCUGUUGGUUUUAAUGAGAAAAAAGAGGUGAGAAGAGCCUGCUGUGGACACAUUCCUGAGAAGGAUGCCUCAACAGUCAACAUGGGGAUAAUGCACAUUAGAGACUUCACUUCCUGAAAAAAAAACUGAUAAGUACUGAAAAUGUGUUUCCUUUACUGUAGCACAUCAGGAGCUCUGACUAUAAUCAUUAGAAUAUAGCAUAUCUAGAACAAUUCUUAUGAGGCCUCAUAGCUACUCUAAUCUACAUUUAUAGAAGUCUACCAUUUUCUGCCCACUGUUUCUCUCUUCAACUUCUCUGUUUUUAUCAGUUUAAACAUACAGAAGUAACAUUCAGACAAUGCAUAUUUGGAAGAAAUUACAGUGUAUAUCUAAGAAAAACAGCUUAUUUCUCUUUAUGAAACUCUCCAAAAUCUUCAUCAUAUUUAAAAUAAUGUCAGAGUCCCUGCUAUGACUCAGAAGGUAAAUGAUCCAGUUUGUCUCUGUGGAGGCACUGGUUGGAAUCCUGGCUCAAUGCAUUGUGUUAAGGAUUCAUUGUUACUACAGCUGUGGUAUAGGUCAUAGCUCUGGCUCAGAUUGGAUCCAUGGCCUGGAAACUUCCAUAUGCCUUGGGAGUAGCUGAAAAGAAGAAUGAAUAAAUAUUAUCAGCAAUAUUUAUUAAAACCUGCCAUUGAUUUAAGCAUAAAUUUGUGCAUUAGUUUACUUGAGGGAAAUUCAUAUGCAAAUAUUUAUUGUUUUUUAUAAACUAUAUUUUGGAAGACUGUCACUUUAAUAAUUUAGUAUUAUAAUACACUUUACAUUAAUCCAGAUCUCUAAUUUCCCUCACCAUUAAUUAUGUCCACCACAUUGUUGGUGAGUUUAAGUCUCCUAGAAUAUAUGCCCUAAAAUGGAAAACUUUCAUCAUAAUUUCAUAUAUGAGCACAAUAUUUUAAUGAUGCAUGUGUAUUUGAAAUUAGAAUGAUUUGAUACGUAUGUGACAGAAUUUCAUUAAGCAGAAAAAAUGUUAACAAUGUACCAGAAAUAGUCUAUUUAAUUAACAAGGAAAUAAAUAGUGUUAGAAAGCAACAGCCUAGAUAUGUAGAAAAACAGAUUGAAUAUUUGAUGAAAAAUGAAGGUAAAAUUUAAGUUUCAAUGUAAUAUAAUUGAAAUUAUAAGACAGUCUAUAUUUUAUAUAUCAAAUAUUAUAUUUUAUAUGUAUUAAAUAUAUAUUAAAUACUAUAUUUGUAUCAUUUAUAUACAAGGUAUAUUAUAAAUGCACCUUAAAUCCUCAUAAAUAAAAUACACCAUCUAUCCUUGAAAAUGAGAAAAUUGUUAGUUUCAAUACACUUAACAAAAAGCUAGCUUUGAUUCCAUUUGAAAUUCAUCUAAUAUGAUAAGCUUAACCUAAUGGGAGAAUGCAUGAAUGAAUUCUCAGAAUCCCAUAGAAAGGACUUUGGUAAAUUACAUUUGAUUGAGAUAUAGGUUUUGAUGUUAAGAAUGAAAUAGAAUCCCUGACCAAUUUUUGAGCCAAUUUGGACAAUCAAUUUGAAAAGUGUCUUUGAGGACUGUCCCAGUGUGAAUUUUCAUUUUAUCACCUUUACUAUUGGGAAUAAUAAUAUGUUCACCAGAAACAGAUAUUUGGAUAUUUAGAAUUAAAGAGGUAACCUCAUCCAUAGCCACUGAGAAUUGUAUUUUUCUGAUUUCCUACAGAAUCUGAAAUGGGCUUUCCAUUGACAAUGUCAUGUUCCUUACUAUCCUCUCUCCAUUAGCCUCUGAUCCUCCUAUGACCCUUUAGAUCUUAAGGGAAAAAACAUUAAUAGAUUUAUCCCACUGCAUGUUUAGUACCUUUAACACACUAUUUCAUUGUUCUCAAAUGACAGUCUGCCCAGUAAGUCUGUGAACCUUAGAAAUCACUUUGGAAAGAGUGGCCAUGGCUCUGAGUAGCCAUUUGGUAUUAGAAACCAGACAUACCUGAGCUCACUAAACCUGAUAUGUAAACAGUAUUUCUCAAACCAUCAUGUGCAUAUGCAUUUCUCAUUCUCAUCACUUCUAAAAAUUUACACUUGAGAAUUUUAGUUCUGACCACAGCCUGCAAUUCUUUCAUUUUAUUUCUUACUGUUAUUAACUAUGGUUACCAUCCCUGCUCCAAAUCUGAGGAAGAUGUACUUCUCUUCUCACAGGUGGACCUGCUUAGCUUAAAGAAAUAGUCCCUCAAAAUUUGUUGUCUCCAUGACUGUGUGUGAUGGGAUGGAGAUAAGCUUCCAUUAAAGAUUCCACUAUCUACUGUUAUUCUUUUGUAACCACUUUGAUAUUUUUUCCUUUAUGCAGACUUUAUUCAGAUUUAAUUGACUACUUAUUAUGCUCUUAAAUGUCUGACACUAAAAUGCCUUCAGAGCUUAGAUGAACCAAAUUAACAUUAGAAGUUGCAAAGGUGACUGAAGAAAAUACAUUGCAUUUGACUGCAUAAAAUGUCUUUUUUAAAAGUUGCUAUACUGGUUUUAAUAAUACAGGUCAGCAGCUGCCAGUGAGAAACACAUGUCCAUCCUUUUUCCUACACUUUACACUCUGUACGCUGUUGGUGGACUGUGCCAUUUCUUUUUUUUUUUUUUUUUUCUCGCCAGAAUGACUUUACUUCAAUCUGUACAUGUCUAAGUAGAAAUUGAAUCAAUUAGGCUUGAGUUGGCAGUAUAAAAGUGAAAAAUAAUAAAAAGAAUGUUUUUGUGAAGCAGAAGUUUGCUUUUCUCUGUCAUACAUACACACACAAAUCAGAGAGAAGAAUACAAGGUCAGGGUGGUAGCUCUAUGCCCAUGAGUAACUAAAUCUUUUAACUGUCCACUAUCUUGAGCGACAUAAGACUCAAACUCAAGACUGCUUCUUCAUAAGAUAAUUGUCUAUAUACUUGGCAGAAAAUAAAGAGAUCAUAAAAAUAGUGCUCUCUCAGCUGAGUCAGAGAAUAUUUAAAUAAUGUUACAAUAAGACUCCUCCUAGCUGCAAUGGACACUGGGAAAAAAAGCCGUUAAUUUUGCCAUUUGUCUGUCUGAAAUAAAUGGAGCCCUGGAGAUGCAUUUUUAAAGAAGAGGAGAAUGGGGUAUUUCUUAGGCAACUUGUAGUCUCUGCCACAGCAUCUGUGCACACACUUCUGCUUCAUGGAAUUCCUAUACCUAAUUCUCCAGGUAUAGAUAUUGAGAGUCUCUCAAGGAUUUCACAGCUACAGUGGUCUAUGAAGGGUUUGCUUUUCAUUUUUGUUCGAAGUAAUCUGUAGCUUCUCUAAGCUAAAAAGAUCGUAACUAUACCAUCUUGAAGUUACCUAAAAAUUUGUGUCUGCCAUUAUCAGUGUCUGAGGACAUGAUAUAUCCCAUCCACUUUCUUUGGAAUGAUUUCAUAUUUCUGUUUUAAAGUGCAACAGAUACAAAAGUAUGAUGAAAUACUUACAAUACAUAUAAGUACUAUUUGGAGAUUCCACAGUGACUUCAAGUAGGACUUGUUGAUACAGUAGACAUAUUCACAGCGUAGUUCUAGACAGAACCAGAACAAAAAGGAGAAUAUGAGUUCUAUUUUCUUGUUUUGUUUUGAGGGGCUUAAUACCUCAGAAUCUCAAAAUCUAACAGUUUUAACUUGGGAUAUUGGACACUGUUAUGCUGUUGCUAACCCCUACUAUAGCCAAUAAAUGGCUAGACAUCAAUCACUACAAGAAGAGUAAAGUGGUACAAGUGUCUGACAAAUGAAAUGAUCAAAAGGCAGGCUGUGUUGCUAAGGAGAAAAAGAAACACAUGUAAAGGUAUAGAAGGAAGUGAGGACAUCUGAAUGCCACCUAAUAUGAGGAUUUUUCUAUGCUUCCUUUAUAUAUAAUAUAUUCUAUUUUUAAAUCCAUUUCUGAUUUCAAAUAGAACAGGAAACUCAGAAGUAUUGAAGCAAACCUAUUGCCAGUAUAAGCAACUGUCCAUUGUCUUAAUCAAAUUUUUUAUUCUGCCAGAAUCUAAAGAUUCAUAAGCCCAAAGCAUUGGCAUUUAGUUCCUAAACUGUAGAGUUUAAGGUUAGGAACUAAACUGACUCCUCACAUGUCAAUCCUAGAUGCCAUUGUCCUUUCCAGCAUAGCCAUUCAACCCUAAGGUAUAGCUAACAAUCAAGUAAAGCCUCAUUUUCUUAAUUGUGCUUUGCUUUUUCUCUAAGAGAUAUUUCUUUUCCUAGUAAGCAUAGAAGUAGAUCAUUCCUAUUAAUUUUAGCAGAAGAAAUUAUUUUCAUUCUAGCAUUCAAAAAUUUUAUAAAUGUCCUACAUUGUCCUCUUUUUCUUUGAAAAUCCUAUUUUCAUUCUACAAUUUUGCCUCUAAAACAUGCACCUCACCUGUAUAAUUUUUUUUUCCUUAGGCACUGUGCUUUUUGGAAAGGGAACAUAAGCAACUAAGUGUCUAGGCCACAAUGUCAUACUGGUUAAUGGUUUGAUACUGAUAGUACUCUUUGGAUAUUGACGAAGAUCAGAGUGUAGUGAAAUAAUAAUCAGCUUAUAUGUAAAUGUAACUUUCAUUUCAGAUUACAAUGUAUUAUAAACUAAUAAGCAUUAAAUUCAGUGGAUAAUUUAGAGUUUAAAUGCAUAAGGAAUGCGUUUAUUUUUCUUUUAGUUUUAAAAAAGUACUUUUUAAAUUUGAAAUAAAAGGUAUUUUUACUUAUGUAAUCAACAUAAUGUUUCAUUAUAUGUAAAUAUGUAUAAUCCCCUUGAUACAUAUAGAAGAUAAACAUACAUAGUAUGAUCAAGUUACUGAUGUUACAUAUGAUAUAAUUAUGAAGCAUGAAUUGUUGCAGAUACAGUUCACAGAAUUCUAUAAAUUUUCUAGUAAGUAUGCAGUUGUAUAUCUGGUUUCAAAUAUAGCACAUUUUAAUAUCAAGUGAUAAUGACAUCAAAUGAAAAUAAUUUCACUGACCUGAGCCCUCUGCAGUAUUUCUAAUAGGAUAAAGAUUAAACUGAACUUUAAGAUAAUUUUAAUAGACUAAUAUAAUGCUUUGGGUGGUUCAUGAAAAAAAUAUUUUCUUAAUGAUGCCAUUACCCUACAUUCCUCCAAUCUCUUCCUCUUCGUGUUUAGCCUCCUCCUUGUGAAUCUGCCCAUGGCAAUCUGGAUUUAACCUCAAUAAGUCUCAUAAAACAGCUCCCUAAAGUUAGCAAUUAUGUUCAAAUUGAAAAAUCCUGUGAAAUUUUAUUUGAUUCCUGUUAUAGUUUUCAACAUUAUUUGACACACUUAGCUGCUGCAUUCACCUGGUUUUUCCUCCUCCCUCUUUUUUUUUUUUUUUUUCUUUUUAGGGCUGGACCUAGAGCAUUUGAAAGUUCUCAGGCUAGGAGUUGAAUCAGAGCUGUAGCUGCUGGCCUACACCAUAGCAACAGCAACAUGGGAUUUGAGCUGCACCUGUGACCUAACACCACAGCUCAGGGCAACACCUGAUUCUUAAACCACUGAGCAAGGCCAAGGAUUGAACCCACGUCCUCAUGGAGAAUAAUCAGGUUAGUUACCGCUGAGCCAUGGCAGGAUCUUCUCUUCUUCCCUUCUUGCUUCUUUUUGUCCUCCUUUUCAGUUUCCUCUGUAGGGAUAUUUCAUCUUCCAGAUUCAUGUUCAUGUCCCUGAAGGUUUAACAGCAGUCUGCCUCUUUUCAUUCUCUCUUCUCCUUGUAGAUGAUGGUACGUGUGUCCAUGACUCUGAACUCUGAUGACCACUUACACAUACAUGAACCACAGUUAGUUAUCUUCAAACUUCUCCAAGCUCUCCAUCCUCUAUAUCCAACUUAUUAUGUGAAAAACAUUAAAUAUUUCCCAAGACCUUACAAUCUCUGAUAAACUUCAACAAACCUGGCCGCCUUCUAUCCUAUUCUGGUUGACUUGAGUCAUUUUAAUCAGAAUCCUAGGAUUCAUUCUCUGCACUGUUGCCUCUCUUCUUCCACAUAUUAAUUCUUCAUUGUGACACCCUGCCAUCCUAGUACUCUAAAUAUCUUUUAAGCUCCUCUUUUUUCCAUUUGAGUCAUCACAAUCCUAAACAAAAUUAUCAUCUUGCCUGUAUCAUACCUGUAGCCCCAUAAAAGCCUAAUUGAUAUGCACAGAUUCAUUCUGGUCUUACUCAUAUUCAUUAUCCGUUUACAUUACAUUUGAAUUUUCAUUUUACAUAAAUAUACCAAUCUCCCAGUUUAAAAUGCUACAAUUGCCUUACAAUGGAAAAACAUUGCUUUCACUAAGGAAAGAAAAACAACUCCUUACUACCACUCCCCUUCUUGCCUCUGUAACAUUAUGUGACACUAAUUUUCCUCUUUGCUCUAAUUUGCUCCAAUUUCUUUUACCUGACAUGCAUCACUCAACAAGAGGUAUUUCCACAUCCUCUAGCCUCUGAUUAGAAUUUCCUUUACAAUUGUCCUUGCGCAGUAUACAAAUUAGGAAGCUGUUUGCCUAGUGCAUCAAUAAUAAUUAUUCUCUGCCACUUUUCUCAGUUUUAUCAUAUCCAAAUAAAAUAGGAUCUUAAUAUUGCCAACCUUUACAUCAGGUUACCUUUGCUUUACCCCAAAUGUGGAAAAAAAUGAAUACAUAAUACUACAGCUUAAAUUUUCCAAAUUAAAAUGCAGAAAAGGAUUACUUCACAGUAGUUGUUACAUGUAAAAUGACUAUUAUAGUAACACACAACCACUUAGAAAAAUAUGACGAGCUAAAAGGUCACCUUUGCAUAUCACUUCUGCAGAGCAAGCUGCUUAAACAAAAAUUAUUGCAUAUCCUACAUUUUUAUUCAUGAAUUUCUCUCAGUUAAGAGGGAAAAUAUUUUUACAGGGCAAAUAUGUUCAAUUUGAAAAUAUAGAAUAUGAGUGUUUUGGACUGAAUGUUUAUGCUUCCCCCGUCCAGUUCAUUAUGUUGAAAUUCUAAUCACAGGUGUGAUAGGGUGGAGCCCUCAUGAAAAAGAUUAGUUCCCUUACAAAAGGAACCCCAGAAAGACCCAGAAGAAGGCUAUCACCUGAACUCAGCCAUGCUGGCAUCGUGAUUUUGAACUUCCAGUCUCCAAAACUGUGAGAAACACAUUUCUGUUGUUUAUAAACUGUCCAAUCUAUGGUACUUUGUUAAAGCAGCCUGAACUGAUUAAGACAAUGGGAAAACCUAAAAAUAAAAGUGAUACUUAUGUUUAUUGAUCUGGUGGUUAGAAAUUUGAAAAUAAAAGAAAUAUGUGACACUAAUGAAAAGAAUACCAUACAAAAUGACAAGAUUUUCAGUAAUCAUUUCAAAUGCUUUAAAGCAGUUGCAGUCUAGAUAAAAUAUUUUUAAUUUCCUUAGUGGAAAGUAUCUGACAAAUAGCUCUUUUGAUUAUAAUGCAAGAGCUUGACCUUAAGUUCUUCAAUGCCUUUAGGUGCCCACUUCAGAGACACCUAUCUUGAAUAAAGACACUGCCAGCUAUACAACUAGACAAAGAGCCAGCUGUCCCACCCAUGAAGUUCCCCUUUUAGAAACCCUGGGUGACCUAGAUAACUGAUUACUUGUUUUGCCCUUCCUGAAUGUUAAUUCCUUCUCUUAUGUUACAUUCACCAGUGAACAGUGAACCCCAGAAACCCUAGGUACCCCUACCUCAACCCUAACAAAGGCAGAGCCCUUGGUCCAGGCUCUCUCUCUCUCUACCCAAGACCUCUCUGUUUGACCCUUGGACAUACAAAUUCAUGACUUGUAAUGAACCUUGAUUUUUCAUAGUUCGCCGAUGGUUGUUGCUAUGGUGAACCUUGUAGUCACAAUAACAGCUAGUCCAGCCAUGAUGUGGGCUCUGGUGGUCUGUGGGGGUAGUGUAUCAUGAAUAUGAGCCCAGGUGGGUUCACCCAGGCAUCUCUAGCUGACAGCAUCACUAUCUAGCUUGGGACUAUACAAAACCAUUUCUCUUGGUGAAAUAGUAAAUUCAUUAGACCACAUGUGUAUUAUUGAAAUAACUUACAAUGUUUUAAGAGUCGCAAUUAUAAUUCAGGUAGGAAUUUCCAUAUAUAAGCAUUGCUUUUUGUUUUAUCUUCAUUUAUGUCUAUUAGGUAAGCACUGUCUCUGCUGAAAACAAGAUCUAUGGAUUUUGUGUGGGAGAUUUAAAGAAAUACUUUGUUCAAAUAGAGAAAGUACAAUGUGAAAUUGUAAUCUUUAAUACGUUGUUUCUCUGGAUAUUAAUUUACUGAUGACAGAAUACAUUGUAUUAAAACAUACACACAUGUAUAUAUAUUUAGAUUAUGAAACACUGUAGUCAUAUUUUGUAUAAAAAAUAAAUCUAUUUUUUCCCAAACAGCUAAUAUCAUCAGCUAAAAAACAAAAAGCACCAGACAAAGAUGGGUUUACAAAUGAAUUCUACCACAUAUUUAAGGAAUAAAUUAAAUUGUUUCUCCAAGUUCUUUCAGAAAAUAGAAGCAGAGGGACUAUUCCGUAACUCAUUGUAUAAGUUAGCAUCACCCUAAUUCCGAACCAGAUAAAGAUAUUAUAUAAAAUGCAAACUGUAAACCAAUGUCACUCAUGAACAUUGCUGUAAAUGUCCUCAAUGAAAUAUUAGCAAAUUAAAUCCAAAAAUGUAUGAACUAAUUAUACAUGAUAACUAGAAUUUAUUUCAAGUAUAUAACACUAUUUCAACACUCUAAAACCUAUUAAUAAAAUUCAUCACACUAGCAGCUAAAGAAUAAAAAUGUUAUGAUCUGGAGUUCCCAUUGUGGCUCAGCCAUAAUGAACCUGAAUAGUAUCCAUGAGGAUGUGGGUUCAAUCCCUGGCCCGCUCAGUGGGUUAAGGAUCCGGUGUUGCCAUGAGCUGUGGUAUAGGUCACUGAUGAGGCUCGGAUGCUGUGUUCCUAUAGCUGAGGCACAGGCUAGCAGCUGCAGCUCCAAUUAGACCCCUAGCCUGAGAACUUCCAUAUACUGUACCUACAGCCCUAAAAAAAAAAAAAAAAGAUGUGAUCAUAUCACUAGAUGCAGAGAAAACAUGAAAAAUCCAACACUUACCAGUGAUAAUAAAUUUUGGCAAAUCAGCAAUAGAGGGGGACCUCUUCAACUGGAUAAAAAAAAGAAAAAAGAUCUGCAAAAUAUCCACAGCUAAGAUUUUACAUAAUGUUAAGGAACUGGUUGUUUCCUGUUAAGAUCAGGACAAGACAAAAGUGUCUCUUCUUUGUCUUAUUCCUGAUCUUAACAGAUGACAUGUAGAAAAUCCCAAAUAAUCAAUAAUAAUAGCAAUAAUAAAACUCCUGGAAGUAAAAUGUAAUGAUAGCCAGGUUGCAAAAUGCAAGGUUCACACAUGAAAGUGAAUUUAUUUCCCAUAUACCAGCAAUGUAAAAUUGGAAUUUGAAAUUAAAAACACAGUAACAUGGAGUUCCUGUUGCAACUCAGGUUAAACAAAUCUGACUAGUAUCCAUGAGGACACAGGUUUGAACCCUGGGCUCGCUCAGUGGGUUAAGGAUCUAGUAGUGCCAUUACCUGUACUGCAGGUUGUGGAUGCAGCUCAGAUCCUGUGUGGCUGUGGCGUAGGCAAGAGGCUACAGCUCUGAUUUGACCUCUAGCUUGGGAACCUCCGUAUGCUAUGGGUGCAGACUCAGACAAAAACCAACCAACCCCCCCCAAAAAAAAAGACCAACAACCAUAACACUAGUACCCACAGAAUGAGUUACUGAGGUGUGACUCUAACAGAAUAUAUACAAGAACUAAUGAGAAAAACUAUAAAGUUCUACUCAGAGAAAUGAACUCUAAAAUGGGAAAAUAUUGUAGGUAUAUGGUUACAAAGACUUAAUAUUGUCAAGAAGUCUUUUCUUCCCAUACUGAUCUAUAGAUUCAAGAAAUCACAAUAAAAAAGCAACAUCUUAUACGGUGGAUAUCAACAAACUGGUUCUGAACUUUGUAUAGAAAGGCAGAAAACCCAUACUAGCUAACACACUAUUGAAAGAAAAGAACAAAAUCAGAAGACAGACAUAACUUGACUUCACUUUUUUUCCCAUGCAUUAAGUGAAAUACUCACUCUUUAAAGAUUGAAACUGUCUGUUUGAAGCAUCUGUUCAUAUAAAAUCAACUUUAUGUAAACUAAUCAUAUACAUUAACUGAAAUUCUUACAGGAGUCAAAACUUUAAAAGUUCAUGUCAUAUUUUCUACAAGCAUAGGAAAAUCUGCAAUUGAAAAUUGUGAAAAGUAAUUUAGAAAAACAGUCGCUUGAUUAAAACAAAAAUUCAAAUUCAAAGAUUAUAUGUAAAUGCACUUUCUGCAAUUGCAGUGAUCACCCUGGGGCACACUUUAUUGAUGUUUCUUUAGAUAAUUUGCUGAUUUUCAUGUGAUCAUUGAUAUCAAUAUAUAUCCUUCAUAUUAAUGGUAUCAUAAAAGGCAGCAAACAUUUUGGUAUAAUGCAUCAAUUAAAGAUUUAAAUUUCCCUUAAAUAUCUACUUUAUUUUUAUACACUCAUUUGCAUUAAUAUAAUUUAUUGUAAACAUUCAAAGAAUCAAAUUUUCGAAUAAAUUAAUUUUUACCAGUUUCCACUCGACAAUAAAUUUUAAAAUAACCACAGCAAGAAUAUAUGUUCUAAGUAAGACCCCUUAGUCUCGAUGUUCUGCAUAGAUUUCCUGUACAGCCAAUCUAUAAGUUCCUACCUCCCCUCUAGUUCCAAAUGACUGGCCCUUUGGAGGCUCCAUGCAGCAGCCAAAAUGUGACUGGAUGGUACAUUGAGGGCCUGGCAGGGCAGAGAGCAUGAUCCUAGCUCUCUGUCACAUCCAGCAGGGUGAUUGGCAGUGAGCGUUUCCUCUCCACACUGCUCAGCACCCUGGCUCUGGAAGAAAGCAUGAGUUCCAUGACUCAGGAAAGGGGAGAGGGAAAAAGUAAUGGGGUGCAUUUUUCAAAAAUCUUAAGGUAAAACUUCUCUUUACUACACGUAGAUUUGAUUACAGGGAUUAAUAAUGGUCCUCUGUUACAGACUUGAAAAUCUAGAACAAAUGCUAGGAUAUUAAGUAUAAUCAAAGUAUACUUUGAUAUACAAAGUAAAAAUAUACAAAGGAUAGUAUGGAUCAUUAAGUAUAAAUCAAAACUGUGCCAGACAAACUAGGCUAUAUGGCCCCCUUAGUUGUGUGUGUGUCUGUCUUCCCCCAGUGUUAGUAUCAUUUUAAUUGAUUUACCACACAGUUUGGAUGGUCUGUUCACUCUAUUUAAUUCCUCUAGGGAAGUGGUUCUCAACUGUAUGUAACUUUGCCAUGCAGGGGACAAUUGGUAAUGUCAAAAAUGGAGACAUUUUUGACUGUCAGCAGUGGGGAACUGUUACUGGCAUCUAGUGAGUAAAGGCCAAGGAUGCUGCUAAACAUUCUACAAUGUACAGAACAGAACCAUCCCCAAACAAAUCAUUCUAUGUUCAGUAUGCCAGUGGUACUGGGUUGAGGAACCCUUCCCUAGAUUGAUCAUAGCAGCUUGGAUCAAAAAAGUAAGGAGAAUUUUGAAAUUUUGAAAAGAUCACCUACCCGAAUGAAUGUUCAAUUUAAAACAGACAUUUAAACACUACAGAAAUAUUAAGAUUUCAGUUAUUAUUGUCACAUUUCUAUUGCUGAACUAUCGGGUCUCUCUUAGUGAUAAGUGGUCCACUUAAAAUUAAAAGAAAAAAUAUUUUGUAAAACAUUAAGAUGUUGGAUAUAAAUGAUGAAAAUAAAACAAAUAGCCUAGGACAGUAAGAUGUUAUAAAAUACCUUUCAAGGAACCAGCUUUUAGAACUUACCUCAUUAAUCCUCACACUAUGCCCACAGGGUAGCGAUAAUAAUUAUUGUAUCUGUUUUACAGAUGAGAGAACUUGGUCACACAGAGGUUAAUUACUUACACAAGUGUAAUUUGAGAGUUGGUUAUAGAACUGGGAAUAACACUCCUAUCUUAGAACUUCAGACUGUAACUAUACCCAUUUAUUCUGUAACAAGUAUAGUUUAAAUACUAUAGUUUUCAUUAUUACACUAGCAAUUAAAUUGUACCACGUAUCCUAGGACUAAUUUUAUUUAUCAACUGAAUUUAUUUAUCAGUUGAAUGGCUAUGAGAUACAGGGUAUUGUGCAGAGUACUGUGAGAAUUUUUCAGUAGUGAUUGGAGGAAGGGUCUUGCAGCUCAAGAUGGGAUUGUUCUCCAGACUUACCUUCCUUCCUCAGGAGGAGUCCUUGUAUUCAGUUAGGUGCCCUCCAUGUGGUAGGUACACCUGCAUGUGGUCUCCAUAGAUCCAAAUCUCUAGAAAGGUCAUUGGUUUUCCUAUUGUGGCAUAAACACAGGUAUUCACUACAUGGUACUGAUUUACAGAAUACUCAUUAUUCAUCGAUUUCAGCCCUUUAUAAGUGGAAAGUUUGAAUAGAAAAAUAAUAGCUUUCUAUAAUUAUAUUCUAAGAAGCCCCAUCCAGUUAAAGACAUAGUAAUUGGAUAGCACCUGACACUUAAAAAGUGUAUCUUGCAUGUUAUUUAUUUCCGUUCCUACAACUGCACCUUGUGGCAUAUGGAGGUUCCCUGGCCAGGGGUUGAAUCAGAGCUGCAGCUGAGGCCUACACUACAGCCACUGCAACACCACAUCUGAGACUCAUC